This is a long non-coding RNA of Bos taurus (domestic cattle), 4309 nucleotides long. The record is from Ensembl. NCBI's taxonomy places the organism in Eukaryota, Metazoa, Chordata, Mammalia, Artiodactyla, Bovidae.
GUCGUACAUUAAAGAGAGUUGCAAAAACUCUAAGACAGUUCUACUCUUCUAAGUUUUUUUGCUUUCCAGAUAUGGCUAUUUUUCAUAAAAAUGUUAUAUAGAUUAAUGGCUAAUGAGUUUAUUAAGUGUUGAUAAGUGAAUACUUUUUAAAGUUCUCAAAGGCUAUGUGACAAAAAUUUAUAGUGAUAAGGCACAAUAAUAAAAUCUCUGUGGGGGCUUAAUUGUUGUUAAUGUUGUUAAUGUUCCAAACCAAAAAAGUUUGGAAACCACUGUUCUAAAACACGAGAUCACUUAUAAACGCUGCAGGAAGUUGAUGUGCCAGGGUGUUUAUAAGCCCAAGUAUCAUGCUCCACAGAAGGUGGAUGCUGAGUAUGGUGCUCAGGACAUAGGUAUGAAGUUAUAUUGGAACUUGGAGAAAAAACUGCAUUCCAGCUUAGCUAUUUAAAAUACUAAAACAUGAUGCUGUUAAAGUGCUGCACUCAAUAUGCCAGCAAAUUUAGAAAACUCAGCAGUGGUCACAGGACUGGAAAAGGUCAGUUUUCAUUCCAAUCCCAAAGAAGGGAACUGCCAAAGAAUGUUCAAACUAGUGUACAAUUGUGUUCAUUUCACAUGGUAGUAAAGUUCAUGUUAAGAAAAAAAAAAAGAAUCUGGUGUAUAAGUGAUCAUUUAAACAGUAGGUUUGGUUGAAAUGUCCCAGGGAAUAUACACAGUGAGAGGAGAAUGAGGAUAAACUCCCAAGAAAUGGCAACCUGGAAAGACAGACAUAAUGAGUUUGCAAGGAGGAUGAAAUGAAAUGUCUAAAGACAGAGAAAGGAAGUGAGGAGAGUGAAGUGUCACAGAAAUCAAGCAGUCAGCCUUUCAGUAAGAACAAGGUGGUCAGUGAUGUUAAAUCCUGCUCAGGGAUUGAGUAAUAGAGGGCUCUGGUGACCCUGCUGAGAGAUGGUUCAGUGACCUUGAGGGUAAGAGGUGGUCAGAAUUCACAUAUAAACAGUUUUGGAUAAAGCAGAAGGUGAAAAAUUAGAGACAGCAGAUCUCAGAGAAUUCGAUUAAAAGGGAAAAAGGUGAUGUAACUGGAAUUGGGCAGGGAGGGACAAAGGAUGGUUGAGGAUUCUGUAACAGGGAAUAUUAAUAACUAGCUCACAAAGUGACUUUGUAAUCGGGGCAGGGCAGGUAUACUGUUAACACAAGAUCCUUAACACAGUGGUUGGAGGUCCCACUCUGCCAACAGUCAGCAGGGCAUGGUCCUUGGGACGGAGAGUGUGGUGAGAGGCAGAUAGAGCCUUCUCCCAGGGACUCCCCUAUCUCGGCCGGUGGGUGAACUAGGGGGCCGAGGGCAGACUGAUGGCUGUGUCCUGCAGGGUUCCAAAACCUUCACCACGAAGCCCACUGGCCAGGCUUAGGUCUUGUAGGGUCAACAAACGUCUCCGCCAUCCCCACCUAAUGGUGCAGUCUCCAUGGGUCGCAGCCCUUGGGACCCAACAAUGGUCUCCAUGAGGAGCCUGAGCACCAGGUCCUGGGCACCUGGCUGGCUCAGUGAUGUGGGCUGGGCAGAUCUCUGGGAACUUGGCCCUAAGAGUGCCCUAGGCCCGGGCACUGGCAGGAGGAACCAGACUGGAACUGAACGAAAGCUCCCAGGCAGGGUAAGUGGACUGCACAGGGACCCACUUCUCCUAGCCAGGGCCUGACCUCUGAGGGGGGAAGUUGAGCCUUGGAAUCUCACCGUUUCUUGUCAGAACAGAAAAUAACAUUGUUUAGUGGAGGUUUACAGGGAGAUCAUUACCUGUAGACCCCAAGAACAAACGAUGUGACACCAAGAAGUUUGCAACAACUAACCACACCCUGCCUCGCCUUUCCUAGAAAAGGGCUUCUCCGAAAGCUUUGAGGGACCUCAGGUUUUUAAGGCAAGAGCCAGCUUACAUGGUCCUGUAAUAAACCUUUGUCAACACGUCAGAAACCUCUCUCUACUCCAGACUCUGCAAUUUCGGUAUUGUUUGGCCUCGCUGCCUCAGGCACACAGAGUUACUGUAGGUAGCAGCUUCAUAGUCUAUUCACUAAUUAUCUUCAUAAUCUUUGUCUAAUUAAAAGUAUCUCCAGUUAACACCCCUCUCUGUAUUCUCAGCAUCCACUAAUUACCUGACAAAGAUCGUCACAGGAAGAUCUGUAUGUAUUUGUUUAAAUUACCCAUCUUUCUUAUUCUUUCUUAACAUAAAGCAGGCUUUCCUAAUAAACAACAGAAAUAAAGAACUAAUGGUCAUCCCAUUUGAAGGAAGUCUUAAAGUGCUUACUGUGUAGCUAAUUGAUAUCAUCUAGGCAAGAGAAUAACAUAUGAAAAUUCUAAAAAGGACAAGUCAUUUUAAACCUCAUUCCUUGUUCCUCCCUGAAGAGAGGAUGUGCAUUAACAGUAUCUAUUUCAAGGCAGUGGCAGCAGGAAAAGCAGAAGAGAGUCACCACCUGUGGAAGCGCUGAGAAAGGAAUUGAGGUUUGACUGAUGGAAAGAGAAACUCAGUUCAUCCAUGUACAUCAAGUCCAUCUAGUCAAGGCUAUGGUUUUUCCACUGGCCAUGUAUGGAUGUGAGAGUUGGACUAUAAGGGAAGCUGAGCACCGAAGAAUUGAUGCUUUUGAACAGUGGUGUUGGAGAAGACUCUUGAGAGUCCCUUGGACUGCAAGGAGAUCCAACCAGUCCAUUCUGAAGGAGAUCAGCCCUGAAUAUUCAUUGGAAGGACUGAUGCUGAAGCUGAAACUCCAAUACUUUGGCCACCUGAUGCAAAGAGUUGACUCAUUGGAAAAGACUCUGAUGCUAGGAGGGAUUGGGGGCAGGAAGAGAAGGGGACGACAGAGGAUGAGAUGGCUGGAGGGCAUCACUGACUUGAUGGACAUGAGUUUGGGUAAACUCCAGGAGUUGGUGAUGGACAGGAAGGCCUGGCGUGCUGCAAUUCAUGGGGUUGGCAAAGAGUCGGACACAACUGAGCGACUGACCUGAACUGAACUGAUUCUCUUCUCAGCAAGUGAAACAGUGGCUGCUUUGCUGGAGUGUUUUUUAAUUUUUUUUUCUUUUCCUUUGGCAGUAUUAUACCUGAAUUCCUGAUUAGUAUUGUCAGCAAUGAAGUCCUUUCCUUAGAACUCAUGUCUACAUUCAGUAACUGGCUAUAACAGGAAUAUCUCUGCAGAAUCUAAACUAGUCAGGAGCUGUGCUUCUGGUGUUUCAGUCUCUCAGAGAUGUGCUAAGUUUACUUUCAAGUCUCAAAUUGUAUUGUUAAAUCUGUAAAUGGAUCAAUUAGAUGCCAGUUAGGUACCAAUCUCUGCUUUUAUGACUGUAGUUCAUUUCUUAUUGAAAUAUAAUUCAUGGAACAUAAAAGACACUAUUUUAAAAUGUAUAAUUCAGUGGGUUUGAUAUAACAUUGUACAAUCAUUACUGCCAGCUAAUUUCUGAACAUUUUCAUCACCGCCCCCCAAAAUAUCUUGUACCUGUUAGCAGUCACUCCUAAUUUCCUCCAUUUUCUCACCACCAAUAAUCUACUUUCUUUGUGUAUUUGGCUAUUCUGGCUAUUUCAUAUGAAUGAAGUGAAUUGAAAGUCAUUCAGUCAUGUCCAACUCUUUGCAACCUCAUGGACUACAUAGUCCAUGGAUUUCUCCAGGCCCGAAUACUGGGAGUAGGUAGCUGUUCUUUCUCCAGGGGACCUUCGCAACCCAGGGAUCAAACCCAAGUCUGCAUUGCAGGCAGAUUCUUUACCAGCUGAGCCACUGGGGAAGUUCAACAGGCAAAUACACAGUCUACUUUCUUCGUGUAUUUGCCUAUUCUGGUAUUUAAUAUGAAUAGAAGUAUAUAAUAUGUGGCCUGUUUUGUCUGGCUUCUCUCACUUAGCAUAAUGCUUUCAAAGUUCAUACAUUUUGUAACAUGAAUCAGUACUUUAUUCUUUUUAUUGCUGAAUAAUAUUCCAUUGAAUGAACAUAACAAUUACUUUAUCCAUUAAUCCAUUAUGCGGCAUUGAGUGAGUUAUUGUGAAUAAUGCUGCUAUGAAUGUUCGUUUUCUGUGUUAAUUUGUUUUUGAUCCUCUUGGAUAUGUAGCUAAGAGUAGAAUUGCUAGUUUAUAUAACCUUAUGCUUAACUUUUUUGAGAAACUGUUAAAAUAUUUUCCGCAGAGGCAGCACCAUUUUUCAUUCCCAACACAAUGUAUGAAGAUGCCAACUUCUCCACAUCCUCCUGCACAUCUGUUUUUCCCCAAAAAUGUGAAGAAAUAUUUAACUCAACCAAAAAAAGGCAACCCAAUGAAAAUGGACGAAUGACUUAAAUAAACAGUAAAAUGUACAA